RNAcentral lists this unclassified non-coding RNA (332 nucleotides) under soil metagenome. RNAcentral's name for it is "partial contains 5.8S ribosomal RNA, internal transcribed spacer 2, and large subunit ribosomal RNA". The stretch from base 1 to 120 matches the Rfam family "5.8S ribosomal RNA", at positions 35 to 154 of the family's 154-position model. The record is from RNAcentral.
GAUGAAGAACGUAGCGAAAUGCGAUAAGUAAUGUGAAUUGCAGAAUUCAGUGAAUCAUCGAAUCUUUGAACGCACAUUGCGCCCGCCAGUAUUCUGGCGAGCAUGCCUGUUCGAGCGUCAUUUCAACCAUCAAGCCCCAGGCUUGUGUUGGAGCCCUGCGGCUGCCGCAGCCUCCCAAAACCAGUGGCGGGCUCGCUAUCACACCGAGUGCAGUAGUUUACUCUUCGCUCAGGGCGUGUGGCGGGUGCUAGCCGUGAAACCCCCAACUUCUCAAGGUUGACCUCGGAUCAGGUAGGAAUACCCGCUGAACUUAAGCAUAUCAAUAAGCAGGA